GUGGCUCCUGGGCCAGGGGCUGCUCUGAACAGGCUCCUGGAGAUGCUUCAGCCUGGAUACAGGCCACUGACAGCCCAAAAGCAGCCCAAGGAGCAGCUGGCGUGUCCUGGUGAUGGUGGCACGGGCUGCGUGCAGAGGGGCUCAGACAGCAAUUCCUGGUUCCAGCCUCCCAGAGCUCCCAGGCAGCUGCCAGCUAUUAAAUGCCAACCGACAGCCUGCAGAGAUGCCUUCAAAUCAAAGGUUCAGGUGGGAUGAAGUUUUGUUUGGACGAAGGUGGGAGUUUCCAGGGAGCCAGCUGGAAGUGCAGAAGGGAUGGAAAGCUUUCCCAGGUGCUGGACUUGCCUCUGUGGAUGUGUGCUGAGCUCUCACUACAGGGGACUGUGAGGCCUGACUGGCUGUGAGUUUGUGUUCUUCUCACAGGGGAAUCAGAAAUGAUCAUUAAUUAGACCACAGAAAUCUUUUCUGAAACCUUUCCCCUUUCCUGCCCUUUGCUGGUAAGUCUUUUCUUUCUGCCUUUAACUCUACAGCUGUUCCCUGAUGUCAU
Molecule: long non-coding RNA, 544 nt
Organism: Oenanthe melanoleuca
Lineage: Eukaryota; Metazoa; Chordata; Aves; Passeriformes; Muscicapidae
Exons: 3
Source: RefSeq, a predicted model, not a curated record